GCCUCGGUGGUUUAGUGGUCAAGGCGUCUGGUAAACAGGAGGGCGUGGGUUCAAUCCCAGCCGAGGUA
RNAcentral lists this transfer RNA (68 nucleotides) under Diaphorina citri (Asian citrus psyllid). It matches the Rfam family "tRNA". From Rfam's summary of the family: Transfer RNA (tRNA) molecules are approximately 80 nucleotides in length. Their secondary structure includes four short double-helical elements and three loops (D, anti-codon, and T loops). The record is from Rfam by way of RNAcentral. Lineage: Eukaryota; Metazoa; Arthropoda; Insecta; Hemiptera; Psyllidae.